GAGACUACACUAAACUCAUUCGCCAGAGUACUACAAGCGAAAGCUUAAAACUCAAAGGACUUGGCGGUGUUUCAGACCCACCUAGAGGAGCCUGUUCUAGAACCGAUAAUACUCGUUCAACCUCACCACUUCUGGUUUCCCCAGCCUAUAUACCGCCGUCGUCAGCUUACCCUGUAAAGGACAAAAAGUAAGCAAAAUGAGCAUAGCCCAAAACGUCAGGCCGAGGUGUAGCGCACGAAGUGGGAAGAAAUGGGCUACAUUUUCUAAUAAUAGAAUACUACGCACGACGCACUGAAAUGUGCAUCUUAAGGUGGAUUUAGUAGUAAAAAGCAAAUAGAG
This 339-nucleotide ribosomal RNA is filed under the name Gymnotus pantherinus. Its description in RNAcentral is "partial 12S ribosomal RNA". It matches the Rfam family "Bacterial small subunit ribosomal RNA", at positions 848 to 1354 of the family's 1533-position model. The record is from RNAcentral. Lineage: Eukaryota; Metazoa; Chordata; Actinopteri; Gymnotiformes; Gymnotidae.